Molecule: transfer RNA, 82 nt
Filed under: Janthinobacterium sp. MP5059B
Lineage: Bacteria; Pseudomonadati; Pseudomonadota; Betaproteobacteria; Burkholderiales; Oxalobacteraceae
Description: tRNA-Lys
Source: RNAcentral
CGCGGCGCGGCCGGGGCCUUGGCGCCGGGAGCGAUCUUCACGCUUGGGGUUUUCGCCGGUGCGGCUUCGGCGGCUUCGGCCA